RNAcentral lists this ribosomal RNA (257 nucleotides) under uncultured bacterium. RNAcentral describes it as "partial 16S ribosomal RNA". It matches the Rfam family "Bacterial small subunit ribosomal RNA", at positions 521 to 776 of the family's 1533-position model. The record is from RNAcentral.
UAAUACGAAGGGGGCUAGCGUUGCUCGGAAUCACUGGGCGUAAAGCGCACGUAGGUGGGUCGUUAAGUCGGGGGUGAAAUCCCAGAGCUCAACUCUGGAACUGCCUUCGAUACUGGCGACCUUCGAGUUCGGGAGAGGUGAGUGGAACUGCGAGUGUAGAGGUGAAAUUCGUAGAUAUUCGCAAGAACACCAGUGGCGAAGGCGGCUCACUGGCCCGAUACUGACACUGAGGUGCGAAAGCGUGGGGAGCAAACAGG